AUAUGGGUUCUAAGAGUGAUUUUGAAGGUUCUACCAGAUUUUCUACAUAGACGAUCAUGUUAUCUAUUCUCUAUACAGGCUGACCCCUAUGGCCUACUAAGAAUGAAUAAUUAAAACUCUAGGAAUCCCAGGGUUUGUUGGAGUUCAGGGUUGUCGCUGAGUGGUGGAAAUAUUGUUCUCAACCAAAAAAAAAAAAAAAAAUGUGGGGAUUACAUGCCAGUACCAUCCACCCCUGCAUUAGAAGUUUUCAUCGAAGAGCUUCAUUUCACAAGCUUUCAGCGUUGAUCUCACCUCCUCGAAGAUGACACAUCUGAUCCCUCUGUCUAAACUGCUUUCCCUGGUGAGCUCCUUGUGUCAACAUGGAAAGUACCACCAAUGUGAU
Molecule: long non-coding RNA, 382 nt
Filed under: Homo sapiens (human)
Lineage: Eukaryota; Metazoa; Chordata; Mammalia; Primates; Hominidae
Description: HSALNT0224066
Source: RNAcentral